Molecule: long non-coding RNA, 1452 nt
Organism: Glycine soja
Lineage: Eukaryota; Viridiplantae; Streptophyta; Magnoliopsida; Fabales; Fabaceae
Exons: 4
Source: RefSeq, a predicted model, not a curated record
CCAUAUUCUGUUGUUCACUUAAAACAAGUACUGAGGUUAACCCUAAAACUUAACAACUAGAUUUUCUUUCUCAGUCUAAAACACUAAAGCCGCUCUUGCCCCUCUCACUCCUUUCACUUCCCGUGUUAAAUCUCUUAACAUUACUCAUCUUUUUUGGAUCUAUAAAUCAAAAUCCGUGUUUAAUGGAUCAAGAUGAACACCAACUUUUCCUUGAACACCACACUUAACCGUCACAUAUCCAAAUGACUAAGUGGUAACCUUGAACUAUUUCAUUUCUCUUGCCAUUGCACUACACUUUUGCAGUAGAUGUGAUUAUACUCACAACAUAAUGACAAGAAGAUUUGACGACAUGAAUUAUUACAAAGAGUGAGAUGAAUAGCCGGAGAUCGAUAAGUUGCUGGUUGCAACCAUCAAAUCUUAUAGAGACAACAAGAACACGAUGGAACAGAGGUUGCAGGUGACAGGUGCGUCCUCGUCAGCGACGUGGAUGUAGAUUUGCGUCUCCGUUGCUCUCUCUCCCUCGCACUCGCUAGCGUUUCCUUCCAGCACAUCUCAAUUUCGCAGCUUCAUCGCACAAUUAUCCGUGCAGAUAACAUCAUUUCGAUAACUCAAUGGUGUACUCUGAAUUGUUCCCUCCUUUGCUCCAUGCCUUCUUGUCUUUUUCAUUUAGAUAAUCUGUUGCUUAAGAGUGAUUGCUUGAUUUUUGUUGCGGUUUGGUCGUAGCAGAUCCUUUUUGUGAUAAUAUUGAGGAAAACCAUUAUGCAAAGGUCGCAAUCGAUAGAAUAAAAGGUUCUGUAGAAGAUAGAGGAACGCAUUCAUUAGAAGGAUUGAGAUGUUGAACAAUUUGAAUAGAAAAGUGAACAUCGUAUACCUUGAGAUGUUGAACAAUUUGAACUCUCUGUCUGUCUAAAGAUGCGAAUCAUAAAGGUUAGUUUAGUAGCAUGAAUGAGCUCAAAGAUGCAAACAUCAGGUACUUGAAAGUCUAAAAUUUGUUCUUGUUUUAACAUUUGUUAUCAGGUACUUUGUUAUCACAUGCUUCUUGUGGGAAUUAAAGUAUCUCCUACAAAACAUAGGUGGUAAUGUCUGCCCUGAAAGAGAGAAACAGUUAUUUUGUAAUUCAACUUAUGUUCUACAAGCCAAACCUGUCAUUGAAGCUUACCAGGGGUCCAUUGGAAUGGAUGGAUGCAUGAUGCAUGAUGCAUCACAAGUUCACAACCAAGAAGAACGAAUUACAAGUUUUGAAAGAACUUCCUCAAUCAAGGGCUGAAACGUGGUUAUCAGUAGCCUUCGAUUCUUCUGCAAAAUUACAAGUUACUUUGCAUUUGAAAAGCAAAAGAUGGCCAUGAGAUAGAGAGUGAUACUCUACUAGGGAUGUCAAUGGUGUGGGCGCUCCCCAUCCUGGAAUUUUAAAAAACAUUAAUUUUAAAUUUUAAUACAAGUAAAUUUAAAAAA